CCUUCAACGACAGAGCGCGAGUGCACAAUCGAAUGUAAACACUUGACAACGAGCAUGGCAACGAAAACAAACAAAAAAGAAUGCACUUGUAUGGAUUGCGGCAAUGAGUUAAAUAGUAAUAGUGGUAAAAUAAAGUAAAUAUAUGCCAGUAUAGACAUAUAUUAGAAUGGCCCACUAACAAGCACGCGCAAACCAAGUUUUCACACACUGUUUUAGAAUUUUUCCAUCAACGCCGCGUUGUAAAUAAAAGUAAAUAAAUAAGCAGCCGAAGUGGCUCCCCGAGAGUUUCACACAAUUUCGCCCACGUACGUAUGUGAUUGUGUGCUAAGCAGCGUGGGACUCAAGCAAAUAGUUAGACUAACUUGAUACAAAUGCAGACAUGUAAUCAUCUUCCACUUUGUAUAAACACAACGAAAAUUUUUAUGGGGGUAAAGCUUCUGUCGAAAUCUCGCCUCGCUAUUUCAGAUGAUUAGUCGAUAUCAAAGGAAUAAUUCAUAGAAAAAAGCAUGUAGUGCCAAGUGACAAGUGAUAUCUAACGAUAAGCCGCUCAUAAAAAAAUGUAAACAAGAAUAAUCAAGAAUGUUGGCCGAGCAGAAUAAAUUCCAAAAAAAAAAAUAAAUCUUCUGCAUGAAAAUUUAAAUUAUCUCGUGCAACAAUAAAUAAUGAAAAUCACACAAAAAUGAUAACUUUGACCGUAUGUCUUCUUCCCUGAACGCUUUGCUAAGAUGUGACUUAAAUCCUAAGCUAACACAUUGUUCAAAAGUCUCCGCCUUGCACGGUAGAGGAAUAUUUUCCGCGUGAAAUUUAGGGGGCGUAGACAAGCUCAGUAACUGUCAAUUUUCACUUUGGAUUUUUCUUUCUUUUUCAUUCUAUUCAGCUUAGUAAUUCAUUGACUAUCUAAUUUGUAUUUAUCAAAAUAUUCCGCUGUUGCUUAAUCUCUAUACACAAUUUCGCUGUGAGUCGCUUUAUGGUGGCCGCCAAGAAGGGUGAGCGAAAGCGCUCUCUAAUUAUUACACUGACUGAUCAGAUAGCUAAAUAGUCUCCUGCAAAAUUGAGUCUUCUGCUAACUUCAAUGCCGCUGUAGCGUAGAAAAGUAGACUCGGUAGCUAUUGACCUAAACAUAUCGACUUUUCUUCAACUCUGCAAACUAACGAUUGUCAAGGCGUAAAGGUUGCUACGGAGAUUUACAUAUUUACCGGCCAAGGCGUUUAGUCAUUUGAUUCACCGUGAUCAUCGGCUUUCGUUUUUUUUUUUAGAAACUCGGGUUAGCAGAGAAACAAAUGCCAUAAAGUAGAAAAAAGGCAUAUGCUCGUUCAUAACACUCUACUUAAAUUGUUUGUAAAUUUUGUCAGUUUACGUAAAAAUUUUGGUUGUAUACUUAAUGUUUAG
Molecule: non-coding RNA, 1389 nt
Organism: Schizosaccharomyces pombe (fission yeast)
Lineage: Eukaryota; Fungi; Ascomycota; Schizosaccharomycetes; Schizosaccharomycetales; Schizosaccharomycetaceae
Source: the annotation of a GenBank genome assembly